RNAcentral lists this unclassified non-coding RNA (281 nucleotides) under Hevea brasiliensis (rubber tree). Lineage: Eukaryota; Viridiplantae; Streptophyta; Magnoliopsida; Malpighiales; Euphorbiaceae. The record is from RNAcentral.
AAUUCUUUGUUAGGCUUCUUACGCUGUAGCAAUGGUACAAUCUUCUUUAAGCUCGAAAAGCUUUAACUUUUAUUUUUGUUGUGAAAACUUUUAUCAUUGCAGUCUAGUCUUUUAUUGUAUUCCAGUCAAUGUUUUCAACAAGUAAAUAUGGACAUGGUUCUCUUAUCCUAUAAUGAUUAUGUGCUUCCAAAACAAGCAGUUCGAAAUGUAUAGUUCUAUAUGGGAGAUGAUCUCUAUGACGAGGGGUAAAAUGUAAAACUAUUCGUAUAAGGAUUAAGGGU